UACGUAGGGUGCAAGCGUUAAUCGGAAUUACUGGGCGUAAAGCGUGCGCAGGCGGUUGUGCAAGACAGAUGUGAAAUCCCCGGGCUUAACCUGGGAAUUGCAUUUGUGACUGCACGGCUAGAGUGUGUCAGAGGGGGGUAGGAUUCCACGUGUAGCAGUGAAAUGCGUAGAUAUGUGGAGGAAUACCGAUGGCGAAGGCAGCCCCCUGGGAUAACACUGACGCUCAUGCACGAAAGCGUGGGGAGCAAACAGG
This 253-nucleotide ribosomal RNA is filed under the name uncultured bacterium. RNAcentral describes it as "partial 16S ribosomal RNA". It matches the Rfam family "Bacterial small subunit ribosomal RNA", at positions 524 to 776 of the family's 1533-position model. The record is from RNAcentral.